This 453-nucleotide ribosomal RNA is filed under the name Pseudogagrella sauteri. Its description in RNAcentral is "partial 16S ribosomal RNA". It matches the Rfam family "Bacterial large subunit ribosomal RNA", at positions 1930 to 2625 of the family's 2925-position model. Lineage: Eukaryota; Metazoa; Arthropoda; Arachnida; Opiliones; Sclerosomatidae. The record is from RNAcentral.
GCCGCAGUAGCCUGACUGUGCUAAGGUAGCAUAAUCAUUUGGUUUUUUAUUGGAAUCUGGUAUGAAAGAAUAAAUAGGGAAGAACUGUCUAAUAAGAGGUUUUGAACCUAAAUUUUUAGUAAUAAUGCUAGAAUGAUUUUGUGGGACGAUAAGACCCUAUAAAGCUUAAUUUGUUAGCUUUAAAUGUCUCUACUGGGUUUAAAGGGGCACAAAUUUGACUGGGGCGGUUGGUAAAAUAACUUGUUUUGAUUUGGGUAUGUUUUGAUCCAUCUAUGGUGAAAGAAGAAUAAGUUACUUUAGGGAUAACAGCACAAUAUCCCUAUGGAGCCCUAAUCGAAGGGGAUGUUUGUGACCUCGAUGUUGAAUUAAUCUUAAUGUACGAUGGAGAAGUUGUAUGUUUUAGUCUGUUCGACUAUUGAAUGAUUACAUGAUUUGAGUUCAAACCGGUGUAAG